UGGCACUGACCCACCUGAGAAGGCUGGGGAGGGUGUGGUAAUCAUGAAAGCUUGAAGGCCAAGACAGAGGAUCUUCAGGAAGAGGCAGAGCUCAGCACCUGCGUCUCCCAGUAGUUUGUGCCUCAGAUUUCUUGUUCUGGACGUCCUCCAUGCCUGUUUUCUGAAGCUACCUGGAAACCAGUGACUAUCCCAACAAAAAAUGUCUAAAAUCCUCCUGUAUUACUUAGGCCUUUAAAGGUGUUUGAUUUCUUCCCCCACCGUGGCCCACCUGCACAGGAGUUCCUCUUUGAGGGCAACAAGCAUGGAGGCUGAGAGUUAAUGAUUAGACCCACAUUCUUGCACAAAAGGAAACCAAAUCAGAACCAGACUAACCAGAGGAGGCUGAAGAAAAUUAAUAGGUGGCAGAAAACCUUAUAAAAAGAAAACAAGGGAACUUUGCUGCAGAACAACAGCCCUUCGAAUGUCCGAGUGGGAAGAGACAGAGAGCAUCCUGUCCAACCCCUCCUGUAUUGAAGUAUUCAUUCUUCCUUUCUCUGCUGUCUCAUAAGCAUUUAUAUCAGCUUUCACAAGCUUUCAGCUCCAAUUUAGAAGAGCCGAAACAGAAAAUGACCGUCUGUUGGUUACAGAUCUGAGGAUAAGCCCCGCCAAGGACGCCGGAUGUGUGCUCACGGACUGUCUGGGCCCGCUGCAUCGAAGGCUUCCCCACCUGGGAUUCCCUCUCAGUAAUCUACAUGUUCUCAAGACAUGGGGAGGAGAAGAAAAGCAACCUUAUCAUUCAGGGAUUACGACCUUCCUUGGCUCCAACGAUUCAACUUUAAAUAUUUACUUGGCAGCUGAUUCAAAUUCAAAUAAACUUGCAGUUAUUGGGUGAAAUAAAGUGUGCCCCAUACUCAAAGCACUUAUAAUGUGUGGAAAUUUUUCAACUGUCCUAAUAUUUAUGUUUCCAGUUUGACCCAGAGUAAGUUGCGUCACUUAUUACAGAAUGACAUGAGGUUACGGCCAACCCCAAAGAUCUCAGUCAAGGAAUCUUCUCUGAUGCUGCAUUUGACUUCCCAGAGUCUGCAAAACUAAGUCCUUCCUGAAAAACAGUGAAUCUAUAUGAUAUGUGUGUGCGUACAGCUUGGUGACGAAUGCCAGGCGUAUUUCUAACAUUUCAGAACAACUCAAAGAACUAGCAACUAGAGAAACCUUCACGUAACCACCUCCACUUCAUAUUAAUUCUUCUCUUCGUCCUCCCUCAAAGUGAUUGGACUAUGUUAUCCUAUUCUUCUUGCGUUCCCCACUUUCCCUAGCAUAGAUUUUAUAUCUACAGAAGCUGGACUUUAACCGCUUUAGAGGGAGGAGCCCUUUACUUACAGCAGAUACUCAGCAGAUAUUUGGGAAGGAACAAAUGAACAAAUGGAUGAAUGAGUGAUUACCUGAUUCAGACAAAGUCCCUUUGCUAACGAGGUCUUCUUGCUACCUAUCUCCUUCACUCCUAGCUCCAAUAUUCUUUGGAAUUCCAAGGUU
This 1509-nucleotide long non-coding RNA is filed under the name Equus caballus (horse). Its description in RNAcentral is "lncRNA (ENSECAG00000053294.1)". Lineage: Eukaryota; Metazoa; Chordata; Mammalia; Perissodactyla; Equidae. The record is from RNAcentral.